GGGUGCGUAACGCGUAUGCAAUCUACCUUUUACAGAGGGAUGGCCAGAGAAAUUUGGAUUAAUACCUCAUAGUAUUAUUGAAUGGCAUCAUUUAAUAAUUAAAGUUCCAACGGUAAAAGAUGAGCAUGCGUCCCAUUAGCUAGAUGGUAAGGUAACGGCUUACCAUGGCGACGAUGGGUAGGGGUCCUGAGAGGGAGAUCCCCCACACUAGUACUGAGACACGGACCAGACUCCUACGGGAGGCAGCAGUGAGGAAUAUUGGUCAAUGGGCGCAAGCCUGAACCAGCCAUGCCGCGUGCAGGAUGACGGUCCUAUGGAUUGUAAACUGCUUUUGUACAGGAAGAAACAGUUCUACGUGUAGAACCUUGACGGUACUGUAAGAAUAAGGAUCGGUAACUCCGUGCCAGCAGCCGCGG
This 416-nucleotide ribosomal RNA is filed under the name uncultured bacterium. RNAcentral describes it as "bacterial SSU rRNA". It matches the Rfam family "Bacterial small subunit ribosomal RNA", at positions 104 to 520 of the family's 1533-position model. The record is from RNAcentral.